UACGUAGGGUGCAAGCGUUAAUCGGAAUUACUGGGCGUAAAGCGUGCGCAGGCGGCUAUGCAAGACAGAUGUGAAAUCCCCGGGCUUAGCCUGGGAACUGCAUUUGUGACUGCAUGGCUAGAGUACGGUAGAGGGGAUGGAAUUCCGCGUGUAGCAGUGAAAUGCGUAGAUAUGCGGAGGAACACCGAUGGCGAAGGCAAUCCCCUGGACCUGUACUGACGCUCAUGCACGAAAGGCGUGGGGAGCAA
Molecule: ribosomal RNA, 248 nt
Filed under: uncultured bacterium
Lineage: Bacteria
Description: partial 16S ribosomal RNA
Rfam family: Bacterial small subunit ribosomal RNA
Source: RNAcentral